GGAGGAGACAAAUAAAGAUGCAGUCAUGAUUGCUGCCGCAAAGUUGGUUGCAAGUGAUACAGUUUCUAAGGAGUAUCUUGGUCCAGAAAUUAUUUCUCAUUUUCUGAUACAUGGGACAAGUGUAGCAGAUAUUGUUAAGCAUUUCAUUGCCAUUUUGAAAAAGAAGGAUGGAAAUAUCCCAGUUAUCUUUCUUGAAGCCAUG
RNAcentral lists this unclassified non-coding RNA (202 nucleotides) under Hevea brasiliensis (rubber tree). Lineage: Eukaryota; Viridiplantae; Streptophyta; Magnoliopsida; Malpighiales; Euphorbiaceae. The record is from RNAcentral.